AACGAACGCUGGCGGCAUGCCUAACACAUGCAAGUCGAACGAGACCUUCGGGUCUAGUGGCGCACGGGUGCGUAACGCGUGGGAACCUGCCCUUAGGUUCGGAAUAACUCCCCGAAAGGGGUGCUAAUACCGGAUAAUGUCUUCGGACCAAAGAUUUAUCGCCUUUGGAUGGGCCCGCGUUGGAUUAGCUAGUUGGUAGGGUAAAAGCCUACCAAGGCGACGAUCCAUAGCUGGUCUGAGAGGAUGAUCAGCCACACUGGGACUGAGGCACGGCCCAGACUCCUACGGGAGGCAGCAGUGGGGAAUAUUGGACAAUGGGCGAAAGCCUGAUCCAGCAAUGCCGCGUGAGUGAUGAAGGCCUUAGGGUUGUAAAGCUCUUUUACCCGGGACGAUAAUGACAGUACCGGGAGAAUAAGCUCCGGCUAACUCCGUG
Molecule: ribosomal RNA, 433 nt
Filed under: uncultured bacterium
Lineage: Bacteria
Description: partial 16S ribosomal RNA
Rfam family: Bacterial small subunit ribosomal RNA
Source: RNAcentral